UACUAUAGAGAUAUGAUAGAAUUCGUAAGUGCAGUAUAUAGGAGUAAGUAGACAAGUGUAAAGUGGGCAAGUGUGGUAGGUAUGCAUUAUUAAAGUAGUAUGGACAAGUGUAAAGUGAGGUAGGUGGUGUGCAUUAUUAAUAGGACAAGUGUAAAAGUAAGUAAGAUAGUACGUGCAUUACUAUAGAGAUAUGAUAGAAUUCGUAAGUGCAGUAGAUAGGAGUAAGUAGACAAGUCUAAAGUGGGUAAGUGUGGUAGGUAUGUAUUAUUAAAGUAGUAUGGACAAGUGUAAAGUGAGGUAGGUGGUGUGCAUUAUUAAUAGGACAAGUGUAAAAGUAAGUAAGAUAGUACGUGCAUUACUAUAGAGAUAUGAUAGAAUUCGUAAGUGCAGUAGAUAGGAGUAAGUAGACAAGUGUAAAGUGGUAAGUGUGGUAGGUAUGCAUUAUUAAAGUAGCAUGGACAAGUGGCAAAAGGUGGAGGAUUUGUGGCUUAGGUCGCAGGUUCAAGCCCCACACCAUGCAAAGCGAAGCCCNNNNN
This 536-nucleotide long non-coding RNA is filed under the name Solanum tuberosum (potato). RNAcentral describes it as "long non-coding RNA (STUB_LNC000707)". The record is from RNAcentral. Lineage: Eukaryota; Viridiplantae; Streptophyta; Magnoliopsida; Solanales; Solanaceae.